This 253-nucleotide ribosomal RNA is filed under the name uncultured bacterium. Its description in RNAcentral is "partial 16S ribosomal RNA". It matches the Rfam family "Bacterial small subunit ribosomal RNA", at positions 524 to 776 of the family's 1533-position model. The record is from RNAcentral.
UACGGAGGGUGCGAGCGUUGUCCGGAAUCACUGGGCGUAAAGGGCGCGUAGGCGGCCUGGUAAGUGGGCGGUGAAAGCCCGGGGCUCAACCCCGGGGCGGCCGUGCGGACUGCCGGGCUGGAGCACUGUAGAGGCGGGUGGAAUUCCGGGUGUAGCGGUGGAAUGCGUAGAGAUCCGGAAGAACACCGGUGGCGAAGGCGGCCCGCUGGGCAGUGGCUGACGCUGAGGCGCGACAGCGUGGGGAGCAAACAGG